GUACUUUGGCAGUGCAUAUACUAAGAUUGGGAUAAUACAAAAAUUAGCAUGCCCUUGUACAAGGAUAACCCACAAAUAUGUGAAGUGUUCUAUAUUUAG
This 99-nucleotide small nuclear RNA is filed under the name Varanus komodoensis (Komodo dragon). The record is from RNAcentral. Lineage: Eukaryota; Metazoa; Chordata; Lepidosauria; Squamata; Varanidae.